AGCAGACAGGAAUCGGAGGUCAGGAACACGAAACAGGAUCACGAGGCAAGUAGGCAGGAUGGUGAAAUGCUGGAAAGUGAUGACUGGCAUACAACGAUCUGGCAACGGGCUAUGGGAACUGGUGGUGGUUAAGUACACAGGAUGUAACUGACAAGGACUCGUACAACGAAACACCAGUGGGAAUCCUCUGUGUUGAUCCAAAAAAUCGUCAGCUCAGCCCAUCCAGAGUGGGAAUCAUCUUGGAGGGGAGUGUGGUGAUGGAUGAAGUGGGCUCCACCUGGACUACCCUAAAUACAUGAAAAACACUUUUAUCUCUGUUCAUCAGCUGCUGUAAUGGUCAAGCUGGGUAGAAGUGAGCUUUCUCCUAAAAUUCAAACACUGAAAAAUCAACUUAAGACUAGUUCUGAAUAGAAUAUAAUGCAAAUUUCAGUUCUUAGUUUGUGAUGUUAAACAACUGUGUGGUACUAUGUGCACAGAAUAUUGUAUAGCAUUGUUACAGUACUGUAUGUCUGGUUGAGAGCUGCAUUACAAUGGAGGCUUCUGUUUAUUAUAUAAGUGACAUGCUGUAUAUUCUACCAUCUUUUAUCACCAGGCAAGCGUGAGGCGUUAGACACGAGGGGACUGUGUACUUUUUACACUGCUUCUUUGUGAUCAUGUGUGAAUUUAAAAUAAAGUACAAUAAACAUG
Molecule: long non-coding RNA, 687 nt
Organism: Betta splendens (Siamese fighting fish)
Lineage: Eukaryota; Metazoa; Chordata; Actinopteri; Anabantiformes; Osphronemidae
Exons: 2
Source: RefSeq, a predicted model, not a curated record